GGGCAAUUAUCCUCAUAAGUUUGACGACAUGAGGAGCCAUUCUACUCUCGAAAUUGAUGUAUAAUGUUUUAUAACUUAGUUAUAGGAAAUUAUGCAUGGGCAGUAUAGAUAAAGGUGGUGACACAGAAUCGGGGCCCACGACUGUUUACUUAAAACACAGACACCUGCUAUGAUUAAAUUAUUUGUAUAGGUGUCGAAUUUUGCCCAAUGCCAUUAAUAUAAAGAAGGCGAGUUUUAUUUGCUGACUGAAAGUCUGGUCAAUGGCGGUCUUAACUAUAAGGAUCCUAAGGUAGCAAAAUUCAUUGUCCGCUAAAUACGGUCCUGCAUGAAUAAAGUAACGAUGGGCCCACUGUCUCUACAAGCAUCUCAGUGAAAUUGAAUUAGCCGUGCAGAUGCGGUUUGCCUCCGGGUAGACGGGAAGACCCUAUGCAGCUCUA
This 437-nucleotide ribosomal RNA is filed under the name Hydnum albidum. Its description in RNAcentral is "LSU rRNA". It matches the Rfam family "Bacterial large subunit ribosomal RNA", at positions 1716 to 2103 of the family's 2925-position model. The record is from RNAcentral. Lineage: Eukaryota; Fungi; Basidiomycota; Agaricomycetes; Cantharellales; Hydnaceae.